Molecule: long non-coding RNA, 185 nt
Organism: Sinocyclocheilus rhinocerous
Lineage: Eukaryota; Metazoa; Chordata; Actinopteri; Cypriniformes; Cyprinidae
Exons: 3
Source: RefSeq, a predicted model, not a curated record
UACACAGUUACGCCGUCUAAACCACUGAAAUGUGGCAAUUUCAGGACAGACCCGUGGAGAUCUCUGGAUCUAGAGCUGGGAUGGACGAUGACGGACGGAUUGUUACCCCUCUGGAGGGUCAGACGGGUACAGAGGUGUGGGUCUUCUGGGAGCGGAGUUGCACACUUUUAUAUCUGGAUGUUUUU